Molecule: unclassified non-coding RNA, 1624 nt
Filed under: Haliotis rubra (blacklip abalone)
Lineage: Eukaryota; Metazoa; Mollusca; Gastropoda; Lepetellida; Haliotidae
Description: cell death abnormality protein 1-like, transcript variant X2
Source: RNAcentral
AAAGAAGUUGAUCACCCAUAAAGUUUUGUCAUUCCCGCUGUGCAUGGUGAACAUGUUCCUACCCGACUGCCUUAUGUGAAGGUGACACGAUACUUUACGACAUACGACAGUAGGCUACACACAUACAUGUAACACAUAUCCUCCUAUGUACCUGGGGGGUACUGGACCUGUCCGAUGUUUAACUAUUUACAAGUCAUGUGAAGGCCCAAAGAAGAGAGAUGUCGUGAAAAACAGAGAAAUGAUGAUACCAUGUAUUUAGAAUAUAUGCUUCUUGCCGUUAUUCUAUUUGUGGCCAGUGCUCUUCAGUGUCAGUGGGGAAAGUUUGGUGACAACUGUGAACGAAACUGCUCCUGCCACUGCGCCCUCGUGAAAAACAGUACGGCAAAACAUUGCAGGAAAUCAACUGGAGAGUGCUCAGAGGGGUGUAUUCCUGGGUCGUAUGGUAUAGAUUGCACGAAAAACUGCAGUGAAAACUGUCUCAACAAGAUAUGUAAUCAACAUAACGGUCACUGCACCCAAGGCUGCAUAGAAAACUACAAAGGAGUUUUCUGUAACAUUUCCAAAGAUUUCAGUAAUCCAGACACCUGUACCAGGAAUUCAGCUCAACCUACCUCGGUCGUGAUCCUUGGAAGCUGUCUUGGUUUUUCAGUGCUGUUGAAUAUCAUUCUUUGUGUGCGAUGUUGUGUGGUGUCGUUUAGAAGAAGACUGAAAACAAGUAAAGGGAGACGGAACCCAAAUAAGGAGUCGGAAAAUCAGAAACACGAACAUUGUAUACCUUUACAAGAUGUCACCUCGACGUAACAUUUGCUGUAUCCUAACAGUUGCAGUUUACCUCGCUUCAAUUCUAGCAUCUCCGAAUUGCAAAAACUGUCUGUUUGGAAAGUGUGAUGAAGACGGAAAAUGUACUGACGGGUGUGAACCAGGCUAUGCUGAUAUAUACUGUCAGCAUCCAUGUCAGGAGACCUGUUCAAAUGGCAGGUGUUUUGUGGACAACCACACAGGAAAGACAAUGUGUACAGAGGGAUGUGUUGAUGGCUUCUGUUACCCUGCAUGUAGGAUACCUUGUCCUGAAGGCUGUCUACGUUGUAAGCGUAUGGUUUGUGAAAACUGUACACUUUGUGAGGGUCACUUGUAUGGAACAAGCUGCCAACACUCGUGUGUUGAUAAGUGUAACGGCUAUGCAUGUGGUAUACAGGGAAACUGCUCACAAGACAAAUGUAUGGAUGGUCGGUACGGCAAGUUAUGCAGUAAGUCAUGUAAACCGAGGUAUGAGUCAUGUCACCAAGAGAGUGGACAAUGUAUUAAAUGCCGGAAAGGGUUAUUCGGCGACGACUGUCAGCAUCACUGUUCACACGAAUGUCUAUCAAGGGAAGAAGAUGAAAUGUUCAGGUGCAGUUCGGGAUGCACGCUGUGCGAGUUACCAUCUCAUACUGAUUCUAAGAAAGAUCCGGCAUGUACAGACAAUGGCAUGGAGGCCAGAAUUAACUCUACCCUUGGACUAUGUAGCGCUGUGCUGUUGAUCGCUGUGACAAGUCUUUGCCUUAACAUCAUAAAGGCAGGGGCGUUGAAACGUGAACGAUGCAAUUGUGUAGAUGUAGAGUGAUAAAGAAUAUACCUGGCUAUC